RNAcentral lists this small RNA (35 nucleotides) under Arabidopsis thaliana (thale cress). RNAcentral describes it as "ATSL298000". The record is from RNAcentral. Lineage: Eukaryota; Viridiplantae; Streptophyta; Magnoliopsida; Brassicales; Brassicaceae.
GCAACUGGGAGCUCGAAGAAGAGGAAGAAGAAGGU